UUGCGACUGGCAUCCGCAUCCGGCAGAUGUAGAUGGAACCAAAGUCCAGAAGUUACGCGUCACCCUUGCUCUACAGCCAAACAUGCAGGACUCUAGUAACCCGCGAAAUGAUGGGAUAGCGUUGCAAAUCCUUAAAAGAGUCUUAACGGAGAAGGGAAAAUGUUACAUUGUCAAAGUCCCAAAGCCUUUCAGCCUGAAGCCAGGAACAAUUGUUCAAAGUUUCUUUGGAACAUCAAGGAAGGAAAUCCAGAUUUUACUUUAAGUGCAAUGGGGAGUCAUUAAGGAUUUUGUGUAGAUACAGCAAAAAGACAACAAUCUUCAAGCCACAAUGGCCCUCACCAGAACCCAGCCAUGUGGUCAGCCUGAUCUCGGACUUCACAGCCAGCAGAACUGUUUGUCAAAGAUCAGAUGGUUUCCUUAAGCUGAUAAGCAACUUCAACAAAGUCUCAGGAUACAAAAUCAAUGUGCAAAAAUCAUAAGCAUUCUUAUACACCAAUAACAGACAAACAGCCAAAUCAUGAGUGAACUUCCAUUCAUAAUUGCACAAAGAGAAUCAAAUACCUAGGAAUCCAGCUUACAAGGGAUGUGAAGGACCUCUUCAAGGAGAACUACAAACCACUGCUCAAUGAAAUAAAAGGGGACACAAACAAAUGGAAGAACAUUCCAUGCUCAUGGUUAGGAAGAAUCAAUAUCGUGAAAAUGGCCAUACUGCCCAAGAUAAUUUAUAGAUUCAAUGCCAUCCCCAUCAAGCUACCAAUGACUUUCUUCACAGAAUUGGAAGAAACUACGUUAAAGUUCAUAUGGAACCAGAAAAGAGCCUGCACUGCCAAGACAACCCUAAGCAAAAAGAACAAAGCUGGAGGCAUCAUGCCACCUGACUUCAAACUAUACUACAAGGCUACAGUAACCAAAGCAGCAUGGUACUGGUACCAAAACAGAGAUAUAGACCAACGGAACAGAACAGAGGCCUCAGAAAUAACACCACGCAUCUACAGUCUAUGGUAUUUUACUAUGGAAGCCCACCCUAAGAUUUCAAUUUAGCUUCCAUGUAGUUCCCUGGUGCUUGGCAAUCUCCUGACUCACUACCUUGUCACAUGGUCUAUCCCAAGUCAGUCCUUCUCCUCUUCCCAUAUCCCCCUACUCCAAUAUUCACCCAUAUGUGGCCAAGUCUUCCUCCACCUGAGCUCCUUGCAGAGGAAUGAACAAUUGUUUGAACAUUAAUGAAUAUUAAAGUAAGUAAAGAAGAGACAAAUCUCCACUUGUUUUGAUAGUAGGGUGAUCUUUGGUGAGCUUAGGAAAAGUUUCAACCAAGUAGUCAUAGCAUGAUCCAAGUUAACAUGCAUUGAGCCAGGCGUGAUGGUUCAUGCCUGUAAUCCCAGCACUUUGGGAGGCUCAUGGGGGCAGAUCACUUGUGGUCAGGAGUUCACGACCAGCCUGGCCAACAUGGUGAAACCUCGUCUAUACUAAAAGUACAAAAAUUAGCCAGGCAUGGUGGUGCAUGCCUGUAAUCCCAGCUACUUGGGAGGCUGAGGCAGGAGAAUUGCUUGAACUUGGGAGGUGGAGGUUGAAGUGAGCCGAGAUCGUGCCACUGCACUUCAGCCUGGGCAAC
This 1609-nucleotide long non-coding RNA is filed under the name Homo sapiens (human). RNAcentral's name for it is "HSALNT0320029". Lineage: Eukaryota; Metazoa; Chordata; Mammalia; Primates; Hominidae. The record is from RNAcentral.